This 520-nucleotide unclassified non-coding RNA is filed under the name uncultured Glomus. Its description in RNAcentral is "SSU rRNA". It matches the Rfam family "Eukaryotic small subunit ribosomal RNA", at positions 569 to 1090 of the family's 1831-position model. Lineage: Eukaryota; Fungi; Glomeromycota; Glomeromycetes; Glomerales; Glomeraceae. The record is from RNAcentral.
AGCAGCCGCGGUAAUUCCAGCUCCAAUAGCGUAUAUUAAAGUUGUUGCAGUUAAAAAGCUCGUAGUUGAAUUUCGGGAUCAAUUAAUCGGUCGUGCCUCUGGUACGCACUGGUUUUAUUGGUUUCUCCCUUCUUACGAACCAGGAUGUCAUUAAUUUGGUGUCUUGGAGAAUCAGGACUGUUACUUUGAAAAAAUUAGAGUGUUUAAAGCAGGCUAACGCUUGAAUACAUUAGCAUGGAAUAAUGAAAUAGGACGUUUGAUCCUAUUUUGUUGGUUUCUAGGAUCGACGUAAUGAUUAAUAGGGAUAGUUGGGGGCAUUAGUAUUCAAUUGUCAGAGGUGAAAUUCUUGGAUUUAUUGAAGACUAACUACUGCGAAAGCAUUUGCCAAGGAUGUUUUCAUUAAUCAAGAACGAAAGUUAGGGGAUCGAAGACGAUCAGAUACCGUCGUAGUCUUAACCAUAAACUAUGCCGACUAGGGAUCGGAUGAUGUUAAUUUUUUAAUGACUCAUUCGGCGCCUUA